UUUUUCUGUUCCUUUUAGGCUUGUAAUUACUUUGUUUCCAAGCGCCGGGCGGUCGCUUCUUAAUCCUGUCGGGUUGCCGGCAUAUUUCGGUUUUGGCAUCUUCGUCACAUUGCAAUUAAAAACGCACAGCAGGUGUGCUCUGCAAAGUCCUUUGAACUUGUGCUAUAAAAUGUGAAUGUGUCACUUGCAAGGAUUCCACAACCGGAUGACGACGGCCGGGAUGGCUCCGGAAUGGACCAACGGAGGUAUGGGUAGACAAGCGACAUUUGACGCCUGCCUGACUCCUGUGAUUUUGGAUGCUAUCCAAGUGCCAAGCAAUUAUCACGUCAUUAUCAUAAGGAAGCCCAGGAACAGUUCGUGAAUGUUUUGAUUUUUUGCCCGGAAUAUUUACAAUUUAUGAGAAUGAUGUAAGGCUGAUUGAUGUCAGUAUGCCGAGGGGGAGUUUUAAAAUUUCAUUAGUCAUCUAACAUUUUCUUUAGCAAAUAUUGUGGAACUGUGAUGUUAAGCAUGUAUUGUUUGUAACUUCGAUAUCUGUUAAGGCUUACUGCAUAGAGUAGUCUUCCUUACUGAACACUUUUAUACAGGGAAUCGGAAAAAAAAUAAGUUUUACACAUAUUACACCCUGUCAAUUUUCGACUGACCCCUCUGGCAGCCUUAUACCUUUUGACAUAGAUGCCAGAUCGUUUAUUAGUAUACCGCGUUUGCCAGAUUCUGUAAAAACUCUCUCUUUAACUGUAAUAACUGCUUCUUUAGUUUAUUUAAUAAUUUAUUUAUAAUCUUAAAAACUAACUUGCAAAGUUAGUAGUAGCACUGGCUACUGAGGCCUUUAGCUUGGAUUAAAUCAUAUAAUAUUUGUUCAUUGCAAAACUCUCUGAAAUACAUUUAGUAUAUCGUCUCACCACAACAGCAAUAGCCCUCGGAUAAGACACUACCAAGUCAUCUAUCUACUUUUAUUUUUUUUUAUAUUUUCAACAAAGAUUAUCAUUUCAUUUGGUUUUGUCCUUUUAAAUAGCUCGAGCCCUCAGGCCUAAUGAACUCCGGUCCGGCUAGUUUUCGUCGAAAUGCUGGCAUGUCAACGUGAAGGUUUCCGCAUGCUUCGACUCCUCCUCUAUUAUCUACCGUCGGGCUUCCGUUGACAGACAACCCUUAUUGUGAGCGGGCGAUAACAUCUUCCGACAACAUGUCACAUGCCACGUGCUGGAAAAUUAUUAUGAAUAAUUUCCGUAACUUCUGUUCGUUUCUGUUCUGUGCUGCCAAAUCGCAGCUUGCAGUGAAAAAGUGACAUGACCAUGCCCGGCAUUUGCUUGCCGCCCACUUUUAGAGCAGUUCGCUAUGCCGCGUGCCCGAAGUGUGGGGCGUGCCGUCAGAUACAACUUCCGACAUCCGCGACAGAUGUUUUUGUGCGGGAAUGUGCAAAGGCGGCUCUACUCUCAACACCCCUCGCUGCGCUGAUCUCUACCUUGGUUUUUGGUCUUGUCUCUGAUUUUGGGAGUUGCGCCCGGUUGCAAAACAAUUGGCAGGAUAAUUUCUCGACGCGGAUGUCUCCGCCAGCAGUUCGUGAAUUGUAUUUGAAUUGUGAAUAUGAAUGUACUCGAUAAUCAUGUACGGGCCAAAAGGUGUUCAGCGAGUUUUUCUCGUUCCAGUUGUCGUUGUAAUUGUUGUUGUUGUUGCUGCUGUUGUGCGUGUCACAUGGCAUCUCGUUUGUAAUAUUUUUGUUGGCAAGGUGUGACGCAGUUGCCAAACAUCAAACAGACAUAAUCCAAAAUUGAUUCGCCCCCUCACCCAACCGCUGCAAAUCGUGCGUCAUUUGAAUGGAAUCAAGCAGACAAAAUUCGAUACGCCCCAAGUGAUCUAUAUGCCUGUCACAUGAGCUGUACAAAAGGUGCAAUUGCAGGCGCGAAUAGAUAGAGAGAGAGAUAGAGAAAUAAAGAGAUAGAGAUAGAGACACUUAUAGUAUAAAAUCUGUAUAUAUUCUGGGAAUCAUAAUAUAUUAUUAUAUACAAUAUAACACAGGUUAUUUACAGUUACUUUUCAGAAUUUUAAAUUAGCCAUAUCACAUCAGGAUUUUGAAAUGUUGAACUGACUUUUUAACAGCGCAAAGGUUUUCUUUAAAAUUAUUUAUUUUAAGACUAUAGCAGUAUCUAAAAAUUAAUAUACAUCUCUAUCUGUGUAGCUUAAAAUACAGCUGCUGAACAGUUCCCUGCAUCUCUUGGUCGCUCUAGUUGAUUAUGUAAAUGCUAUAUAAUUUACAAAAUAUGGCAAACAUGCGGCCAAACAAAGGGCGGCAAUUACAUGAAAAUCUCAAUUCAAUUGAGAGGCUGCGAAUGGAGACGCGGCUGUCAAUAAAUUGAGAAUCAACCACCGUUAAAUAUGAAUACAAACAGCAUCAGGCUCAGCCGCCAUUUCUGAUCGACAGCUGUCACGAAUGACAAUUGGAUUGCCAAGUUCUGGAUUGCCCUGGUUCUGGCUCUGGCCGGGCUCUGACUCCGGUCUCUGGUCUCUGGCCUCUGCCCUCCGUCUGCAUCAAAAUCGUAUAAAAUAUGCAAUAAAAAUAUGAGACCGCAGAAUUCUUAUUUAUAGAAUACGUAAAAUGCACGAGGUCAUCAAAAUCAGAGAAAACAACAAUAAUAACAACAGCAACAACAACAACGAAAACGACAACGAAAGCGAUAUGAAAAUUGAAACAAUGGCAAUGGCUCUACUCGAUCCGGGAGUGGGUUUCAUUGCGGGACUGGAGGACACUUGAGUAAAACGCAGAAACGUGGUUGCGUUUUUCGUGACUUGUGGGCGAGAGUGCGGCAGGGGAAAUGUAAAAUUGAGUAUAUUCAAUAUAAAUGAGCUACACACUUUAGUAAUUGAGGAUUUUCAAUCUGGAGUAUCUUGUCUGAAUUUCAAACCUACCUGCAGGAUACCCUGGCUAUCUUGUCUUCGAGCAGUCAUAUGUUUGGACUACGAAUAGGAAUGGGAAUAUAAGUUAACUUCCAUAUUUAAAUAUAUGUAUAUAUAUUUCUUUACUUUACCAGCCCAGCUGUAGGGCAUUUCGCCAGUCAGUGUGAGCCCAAAUAAAAUAAGUCUGUUAUAAAUAAAUGUUUGCCAUAAAGAAAGGCAAAGCUUUAAAUGCAAUUAUGGUUCAUAUGCAGCUCUUACAAAACGCCAAUGAUAUGAGCUGAGUGUCUUUUGUUGUGGCUUAAAUAUACACACACAUAUAUGCACACACACCCAUCCACCCAUCACACUCGAACCACUCUGUUGCGAGCCAAAAAAAUGAGGAAAAAAGCUGCACGAAGCUU
This is a long non-coding RNA of Drosophila mojavensis, 3290 nucleotides long. RefSeq lists it as uncharacterized. The record is from RefSeq and is a predicted model, not a curated record. The transcript is spliced from 3 exons. Lineage: Eukaryota; Metazoa; Arthropoda; Insecta; Diptera; Drosophilidae.